GAUCAUGGCUCAGGACGAACGCUGGCGGCGUGCUUAACACAUGCAAGUCGAACGGAGCACCCUUGAUUGAGGUUUCGGCCAAAUGAUAGGAAUGCUUAGUGGCGGACUGGUGAGUAACGCGUGAGGAACCUGCCUUUCAGAGGGGGACAACAGUUGGAAACGACUGCUAAUACCGCAUGAUGCGUAACUGGAACAUCCCGGAUACGCCAAAGAUUUUAUCGCUGAAAGAUGG
RNAcentral lists this ribosomal RNA (232 nucleotides) under uncultured bacterium. Its description in RNAcentral is "partial 16S ribosomal RNA". It matches the Rfam family "Bacterial small subunit ribosomal RNA", at positions 15 to 228 of the family's 1533-position model. The record is from RNAcentral.